AGCUAGAGAAAUUUUGUCAACACACUACAUACCAGUGCAAGACAAAGGCAAAGGUGGAGUUCACAGCCACAGUAAAUAUUAUUUUCCACACUGGAAAUUACGAGAAUUUUCAUCUUUAACAUAUUUUACAACGAAAUGAACCUAAAUUCUAACUAAAAUUCUGUGGUUUAAUUUAAUUUAAUAUUCAAAGGCUCCCUUAAUACCUUCAAGGGAUUCUCCAAGAGAUGCCUUAUACAUACAGUACUUGUACUCUUGGCUUCGAACGAGAUCUUUCUCACCUUCUUCGAGCGGAUCGCUCUCGUAAAUAAGCUCAUAACAAGUCGGAGAAAGGCAGCGCAAAGCACAAUUCUCCUUGGCCGUCAUCGAGGAUUUGCAUUGCUGGCCCCAUAGUCCACUCUCUAUAUCAGCAUAGCACUCGUUCUUCUUUUGCCUGAUUUCCGUGUCAGAUAUUGGGUGACGAGACUUGGAGAGAACAGGAGCAGCUAUAAACAAAAAGGAAAAUAUACAAAUAAAGAGAAAGUAAUCUGGAGGAGGAAUAUGAAUAAGAUUAGCCAUCUGCUGUUCGAUCAAACAAGAAAAAAAAAAAGGUUUCUGAUCUCUACUGACAGAUGAUUAACAAGCAGAUUCUUCUCCUG
This 635-nucleotide unclassified non-coding RNA is filed under the name Hevea brasiliensis (rubber tree). The record is from RNAcentral. Lineage: Eukaryota; Viridiplantae; Streptophyta; Magnoliopsida; Malpighiales; Euphorbiaceae.